AUGGAGGCAGGUCUGACCCUCAUCCCCCUUCCUGGGCAUGACUUUUUGGACAUCCUGGAGGGAACAAGUGCUUCGGGGGCCUUCCCCCCCCCCCCCCUUAAAUCCCGCCGAUGUCAGCAUCGGGCUCAGCAGCUUUAUUGUGGGGAGACAAGCACUGAGCUGUCACGUGGCCUCUGCCAUUUCCUAAGAAACCAGCUUAAAAAAAAAAAAAAAAAAAAAAAAAAAAAAAAAAAAAAAAAAAAAGAAAAAAAAGAAAAAAAGAAAAAAGAAAAAAAGGAGAAAAAAAGAAAAAAGAAAAAAAAGGAGAAAAAAAGAAAAAAGAAAAAAAAGGAGAAAAAAAGAAAAAAGAAAAAAAAGGAGAAAAAAAAGAAAAAAGAAAAACAAAGGAAAAAAGAGGAAAAAAAGAGGAAAAAAAAAAAGGGAACCAAAAAAAGGAAAAAAAAAUUAAAACGGAAAGCCACCAGAGGGGGAGAGCAGAGGGCCGGAGAGCCCGGCAGCGACCAAGCACGACCACCGCACAACAAACACCCACAGGGACAAAAUUCCCGGGGAGCGCGGAGGUUAAAGCAAGCAGGAGGAACGGUCCCCGCUGGGCUGGCAUGGGUCACCCCACUGUGCCCCGUCCCCACGCUCGGCGGGACCCCACGGCAGCGGAGCAGUGACACCCUCCGCGGCGUGCGAUGCUCCCUCGAGGAGCUCGGCGUGCACCGCCAGCGUGAAAACACAGGCGUCUGGAAGGAAAAGUUUCUCUCCUUUUAUAUUGCAGAAAAAAAAAACCAGAGGGGGAUGGCUGUUGCAGCACAGCAAGGAAGGGGGAGAAUAAAGGAUCUGCUCCUGGGCAAAGCAGGGUGCUGCUUCAGUGACCCCAAAGACCUGCCUGGCCUGCAAACUUUAAAAAAAAAAAAAAAAAAAAAAAAAAAAAACCACAAAAAAACUAAACCCCAGAAAACUAAAGCAAGGACAAGCUCUUUUCACUACGUCAUUUUAAUUGUACUGACACCCAGAAAUACACAAAAGGAUACGUGCCAAGAGCCACCCAUCAAAGAGAGGCUUCCUUCCAUGGUGGGUCUUGCUUUCACACUUCUUUCACUCAAAAAAAAAAAAAAAAAAAAAAAAAAAAAAAAAAUAUAA
This 1131-nucleotide long non-coding RNA is filed under the name Aquila chrysaetos chrysaetos. RNAcentral's name for it is "lncRNA (ENSACCG00020015362.1)". Lineage: Eukaryota; Metazoa; Chordata; Aves; Accipitriformes; Accipitridae. The record is from RNAcentral.